Molecule: long non-coding RNA, 871 nt
Organism: Gordionus sp. m RMFG-2023
Lineage: Eukaryota; Metazoa; Nematomorpha; Gordioida; Chordodea; Parachordodidae
Exons: 4
Source: RefSeq, a predicted model, not a curated record
GAAUGAAUGAAUUUUGCAAAUUAUUUAUUUUAUACUUUAAUAUAUUUGAACAUUCAAAGAGUUGACACAAAAUGAAGAAUUUAUUCAUUUUUAUAAUUACAUUACUGAAAAAUCUCAUAGAAAAAUAGAAUAUUACUGUCCAAAAUAAAAUGCUGGAGAUAAUUCUAAGAACAUUCAAAAUGUACAAACUUCCUUCCUUCCUUCUAAACUAUCCCAGCGUCUGGCAUAUAUCAAUAGAAUUCAAAGAAAUGUUUAUUAUUGCACAAGACAGAUAAAUAUAAACUUUCCCCUUUAGGUUAGCAAAUGUUUCCCUAGCCCUAGAUUUUCUCUACUGUUGGAAAAUAUUGAUAAUAAUUUUAAGUUUCCUAAUUUAAUUAAUUAAUGAAAUGAGUGACGCUGAAGAUUUAUUCAAUAAUAUAUACGAUAAAGCCAUUUUAAACAAAGAAGCAAAAUUAAACAAUAAUUUAAAAAAUAUAAAAAAAACUUAUAUCGAAAGGAAUCAUAGAUCUAUAUUUAACCUAUAUUGGGUAGAAGAGAAAAUAUAUAAAACACAAAUAUAAUUGCCUAAUUUUUUAUAUAUUAUUUACAAGAUUAUUUUUUAAUAAUAUUUAUAUAAAACUUUUUAUAGAUUUUUACCUUUAUUUGUAUAAACAUUAUAUUUUUUUAAUCCAUAUUAUAUAGUUAAAUAAAUUUAUUUUAAAAAUCUGAAUAGAAUUAAAUAAAAAAUACUUCAUUUAUUAAAAUUUUAUUUAAAUGUAAGAUAUUAAACUUGGGCUUUGUAGAUAAAAAACAAAAGAUAAGUUAAUUUCAAAGUCUUUGUGUUCUUUUUACUUAUUAUUACAUUUUGAUAACUUAAUCUAAAUAUCUAUUA